Long non-coding RNA from Octopus sinensis (East Asian common octopus), 464 nucleotides. RefSeq lists it as uncharacterized. The transcript has 3 exons. NCBI's taxonomy places the organism in Eukaryota, Metazoa, Mollusca, Cephalopoda, Octopoda, Octopodidae. The record is from RefSeq and is a predicted model, not a curated record.
AACAACAACAAUAGCAGCAAUCCAGGUGAAAAUGGCAAUAAUAUUGGGUAUGGGGUAAGGUAUAGGGUGCUGACGGUGUUUUGUAGUGGUAUUUGUGUGUUGUGGUUGUGGUGGUAGUGGUAGAGUGGUAUGUUGUAGGGCGAUGUGUUGUACUGGUGGUAGUGUUGUCACAUUGUGGUGGUGUUGUAGUAGCGGUGGUAGUGGUGGUUCUGUAGGUGGUGUGUCAUGUUAUAGUAAGUAUUUUGUGGUAUGGUACAAUGUACAGUGUGGUGUGUGAUGCUGGUAUAUAGUACAAUGCAUAGUGUAGUGUGUGAUCGCAGUGUUGUAGUAUAGUACAGUGUAUGGAGUGGUGUGUGAAGUGGAUGUUGUAAUAUCUUACAGUGUAUACUGUGGUGUGUAAUGGAGGUGUAGUAUAGUAUAGUACAGUGUAUACAGUGGUGUGUGAUGUUGGUGUUGUAGUGUGG